Molecule: unclassified non-coding RNA, 465 nt
Filed under: Hevea brasiliensis (rubber tree)
Lineage: Eukaryota; Viridiplantae; Streptophyta; Magnoliopsida; Malpighiales; Euphorbiaceae
Source: RNAcentral
ACUAAAUAAAUAAAUAAAAAUAAACACCUUUUUUUCCAUUUGACAAAUGUUAUUGCUGAGUUUCUCAACUUCAUCUGUUGGAGUGAAAAGUUCAAGCAAACUCUUUUAUUUAUAUUAACAUUAGCAUUUUGUUUUAAUGAUGAUUAUGUAUCAGAUUUUUGCUUAAUUGCUGGAAAGCUCUCUCUAAUUUAUUUGUUCAUUUUAUUUCUUGGCUUUCCGCUUGGUUGUGUCUAAUUAAUUGUUUAUUGCAUUUCCCUUGUUAACUCUGAUCUUUGAUGUUGGCUUUCCACGUGUAAGCAUUUUGCGCCAAGGACGUGGAAAGUGCCAAAUCAAGACUGAGUCUCUGUGCAGAAGACAUCCGAGCUCAGAUGGACACAACAGGCAACAAUUCAGAGUUGUGUUCACAGCUUGGGGCAGUCCUGGGUAUGCUUGGUGACUGCUGUCGGACAAUGGGAGAUACUGGUU